Molecule: ribosomal RNA, 520 nt
Filed under: uncultured prokaryote
Description: bacterial SSU rRNA
Rfam family: Bacterial small subunit ribosomal RNA
Source: RNAcentral
CGGUGCCUCGUGCCGGAUGAAGGCCUUCGGGUUGUAAACUGCUUUCGUACGGAACGAAAAAGUCUUCUCUAAUACAGGGGGCGAAUGACGGUACCGUAAGAAUAAGCACCGGCUAACUACGUGCCAGCAGCCGCGGUAAUACGUAGGGUGCAAGCGUUAAUCGGAAUUACUGGGCGUAAAGCGUGCGCAGGCGGUUAUAUAAGACAGAUGUGAAAUCCCCGGGCUCAACCUGGGAACUGCAUUAGUGACUGUAUAGCUAGAGUGCGGCAGAGGGGGAUGGAAUUCCGCGUGUAGCAGUGAAAUGCGUAGAUCUGCGGAGGAACACCGAUGGCGAAGGCAAUCCCCUGGGCCUGUACUGACGCUCAUGCACGAAAGCGUGGGGAGCAAACAGGAUUAGAUACCCUGGUAGUCCACGCCCUAAACGAUGUCAACUGGUUGUUGGGAAUUCACUGACUCAGUAACGAAGCUAACGCGUGAAGUUGACCGCCUGGGGAGUACGGCCGCAAGGUUGAAACUCAAA